Molecule: ribosomal RNA, 237 nt
Filed under: uncultured Planctomycetales bacterium
Lineage: Bacteria; Pseudomonadati; Planctomycetota; Planctomycetia; Planctomycetales
Description: partial 16S ribosomal RNA
Rfam family: Bacterial small subunit ribosomal RNA
Source: RNAcentral
GGAGUUAUGAAAUGUAAGUGCGCUAAUAUCGUGCUUAUUUGACAAAGGCUCCAAAGGAAACCACGGCUAACUCUGUGCCAGCAGCCGCGGUAAUACAGAGGUGGCGAGCGUUGUUCGGAAUUAUUGGGCGUAAAGAGCACGUAGGUGGGUUUGUAAGUCAGAUGUGAAAGCCUUCUGUUCAACGGAAGAAUUGCAUCUGAAACUGCUAAUCUUGAGUAUAGGAGGGGAGAGUGGAAC